Molecule: ribosomal RNA, 546 nt
Filed under: uncultured fungus
Lineage: Eukaryota; Fungi
Description: SSU rRNA
Rfam family: Eukaryotic small subunit ribosomal RNA
Source: RNAcentral
GCCUAUGCUCGAAUACAUUAGCAUGGAAUAAUAGAAUAGGACGUGUGGUUCUAUUUUGUUGGUUUCUAGGACCGCCGUAAUGAUUAAUAGGGACAGUCGGGGGCAUCAGUAUUCAAUUGUCAGAGGUGAAAUUCUUGGAUCUAUUGAAGACUAACUACUGCGAAAGCAUUUGCCAAGGAUGUUUUCAUUGAUAAGGAACGAAAGUUAGGGGAUCGAAGACGAUCAGAUACCGUCGUAGUCUUAACUAUAAACUAUGCCGACUAGGGAUCGGACGAUGUUAUCUUUUGACGCGUUCGGCACCUUUCGAGAAAUCAAAGUGCUUGGGCUCCAGGGGGAGUAUGGUCGCAAGGCUGAAACUUAAAGAAAUUGACGGAAGGGCACCACCAGGGGUGGAACCUGCGGCUUAAUUUGACUCAACACGGGGAAACUCACCAGGUCCAGACACAGUGAGGAUUGACAGAUUGAGAGCUCUUUCUUGAUUCUGUGGGUGGUGGUGCAUGGCCGUUCUUAGUUGGUGGAGUGAUUUGUCUGCUUAAUUGCGAUAAC